ACGGCUCAGUAACACGUGGAUAACCUGCCCUUGGGUCCGGCAUAACCCCGGGAAACUGGGGAUAAUUCCCUAUAACGCACAUAUGCUGGAAUGCUUUAUGCCCAAAAUGUAUUCCUCUGUCCAAUGAUGCUGCUGCCGACUAUCAUGUAGUCGUGGGUGUAAUGCACCUACUAACCAACCACGACUACGUGUUGUAACAACAACACCCCGGAGAUGUAUUCUGAGACAUGACUCCACCUCCUACGGGGCGCAGCAGGCACGAAUUCUUUACGAUGCGGAACACCGUGAUAAAGCCACACCGAGCGGCAUCUUCAUAUGGUGUGUGUCCCUAUGUGUCACAUACACCCGUUACCAAGGACCACCCAAGACCGGCGCCAGGCGCCGCGCGAACACCCGAGGGCCGAGCGCUGAUCUUGAUUAUUGAGUCU
Molecule: ribosomal RNA, 428 nt
Filed under: uncultured archaeon
Lineage: Archaea
Description: bacterial SSU rRNA
Rfam family: Archaeal small subunit ribosomal RNA
Source: RNAcentral